RNAcentral lists this ribosomal RNA (391 nucleotides) under uncultured bacterium. Its description in RNAcentral is "bacterial SSU rRNA". It matches the Rfam family "Bacterial small subunit ribosomal RNA", at positions 30 to 424 of the family's 1533-position model. The record is from RNAcentral.
AUUGAACGCUGGCGGCAUGCCUUACACAUGCAAGUCGAACGGUAACGGGCCUUCGGGUGCCGACGAGUGGCGAACGGGUGAGUAAUGCAUCGGAACGUACCUUUCAGUGGGGGAUAACGUAGCGAAAGUUACGCUAAUACCGCAUAUUCUGUGAGCAGGAAAGCAGGGGAUCGCAAGACCUUGCGCUGAUUGAGCGGCCGAUGUCAGAUUAGCUAGUUGGUGAGGUAAAGGCUCACCAAGGCGACGAUCUGUAGCGGGUCUGAGAGGAUGAUCCGCCACACUGGAACUGAGACACGGUCCAGACUCCUACGGGAGGCAGCAGUGGGGAAUUUUGGACAAUGGGGGGCAACCCUGAUCCAGCCAUGCCGCGUGAGUGAAGAAGGCCUCGGUU